RNAcentral lists this ribosomal RNA (169 nucleotides) under Petasospora rhodanensis. Its description in RNAcentral is "Cyberlindnera rhodanensis partial 18S ribosomal RNA". It matches the Rfam family "Eukaryotic small subunit ribosomal RNA", at positions 1484 to 1653 of the family's 1831-position model. Lineage: Eukaryota; Fungi; Ascomycota; Saccharomycetes; Phaffomycetales; Wickerhamomycetaceae. The record is from RNAcentral.
GGGCCGCACGCGCGCUACACUGACGGAGCCAGCGAGUUCUAACCUUGGCCGAGAGGUCUGGGUAAUCUUGUGAAACUCCGUCGUGCUGGGGAUAGAGCAUUGCAAUUAUUGCUCUUCAACGAGGAAUUCCUAGUAAGCGCAAGUCAUCAGCUUGCGUUGAUUACGUCCC